UACGAACGCUGGCGGCGUGCCUAAUACAUGCAAGUCGAACGCUGAAGGAGGAUCUUGCUUCUCUGGAUGAGUUGCGAACGGGUGAGUAACGCGUAGGUAACCUGCCUGGUAGCGGGGGAUAACUAUUGGAAACGAUAGCUAAUACCGCAUAAUAUUGACUAUUGCAUGAUAGUCAGUUGAAAGGUGCAACUGCACCACUACCAGAUGGACCUGCGUUGUAUUAGCUAGUUGGUGGGGUAACGGCUCACCAAGGCGACGAUACAUAGCCGACCUGAGAGGGUGAUCGGCCACACUGGGACUGAGACACGGCCCAGACCCCUACGGGAGGCAGCAGUAGGGAAUCUUCGGCAAUGGACGCAAGUCUGACCGAGCAACGCCGCGCGAGUGAAGAAGGCUGUCGGAUCGUAAAGCUCUGUUGUACGAUAAGAACGAGUGUGAGAGUGGAAAGCUCUCACUGUGACGGUAUCUGACCAGAAAGGUACGGCUAACUACGUG
This 495-nucleotide ribosomal RNA is filed under the name uncultured bacterium. RNAcentral describes it as "partial 16S ribosomal RNA". It matches the Rfam family "Bacterial small subunit ribosomal RNA", at positions 29 to 507 of the family's 1533-position model. The record is from RNAcentral.